This 460-nucleotide ribosomal RNA is filed under the name uncultured bacterium. RNAcentral's name for it is "partial 16S ribosomal RNA". It matches the Rfam family "Bacterial small subunit ribosomal RNA", at positions 338 to 795 of the family's 1533-position model. The record is from RNAcentral.
CCUACGGGAGGCAGCAGUGAGGAAUAUUGGGCAAUGGGCGCUAGCCUGAACCAGCGAAGUAGCGUGAAGGAUGACUGCCCUAUGGGUUGUAAACUUCUUCUAUAUGGGAAUAAAGUGCAGUAUGUAUACUGCUUUGCAUGUACCGUAUGAAUAAGGAUAGCAUAACUCAGUUCCAGCACCCGCGGUAAUACGGUGGAUCCGAGCGUUAUCCGGAUUGAUAGGGUUUAAAGGGAGCGUAGGCGGGUUGUUAAGUCAGUUGUGAAAGUUUGCGGCUCAACCGUAAAAUUGCAGUUGAUACUGGCAUCCUUGAGUACAGUAGAGGUAGGCGGAAUUCGUGGUGUAGGGGUGAAAUGCUUAGAUAUCACGAAGAACUCCGAUUGCGAAGGCAGCCUGCUGGACUGUAACUGACGCUGAGGCUCGAAAGUGUGGGUAUCAAACAGGAUUAGAUACCCCUGUAGUC